CAUCUGGAGCCGUCUCCAAUCCUACACCUUUAUAGUUGGCUUCUCCUUGCAUAAGAGAGCAUCAAUCAAUCCAUGCUGGAUGAGCACGUCCUUCACCCUCACUUGUCAUAAAGAAAAAUUGCUCUUUCCAUCAAAUCUGUUGAUCUCCAUCUUAAUUGAGCCUGUCUUUUCUAUCUUCAAUCUUGAUCACCAUCACCACAAUCUAUGCUCUAGUACCUCCUGGCUCUAAUACCACUUGUUGUGCAG
This 246-nucleotide long non-coding RNA is filed under the name Elaeis guineensis (African oil palm). RNAcentral's name for it is "long non-coding RNA (EGUI_LNC012646)". The record is from RNAcentral. Lineage: Eukaryota; Viridiplantae; Streptophyta; Magnoliopsida; Arecales; Arecaceae.